This 615-nucleotide ribosomal RNA is filed under the name uncultured bacterium. RNAcentral's name for it is "bacterial SSU rRNA". The stretch from base 1 to 519 matches the Rfam family "Bacterial small subunit ribosomal RNA", at positions 338 to 873 of the family's 1533-position model. The record is from RNAcentral.
CCUACGGGAGGCAGCAGUGGGGAAUAUUGGACAAUGGGCGAAAGCCUGAUCCAGCAAUGCCGCGUGAGUGAUGAAGGCCUUAGGGUUGUAAAGCUCUUUUACCAGGGAUGAUAAUGACAGUACCUGGAGAAUAAGCUCCGGCUAACUCCGUGCCAGCAGCCGCGGUAAUACGGAGGGAGCUAGCGUUGUUCGGAAUUACUGGGCGUAAAGCGUACGUAGGCGGUUAUUCAAGUCAGAGGUGAAAGCCUGGAGCUCAACUCCAGAACUGCCUUUGAAACUAGGUAGCUAGAAUCACGGAGAGGUUAGUGGAAUUCCGAGUGUAGAGGUGAAAUUCGUAGAUAUUCGGAAGAACACCAGUGGCGAAGGCGACUAACUGGACGUGUAUUGACGCUGAGGUACGAAAGCGUGGGGAGCAAACAGGAUUAGAUACCCUGGUAGUCCACGCCGUAAACGAUGAUAACUAGCUGUUCGGUCUCUACGAGACUGAGUGGCGCAGCUACGACAUUAAGUUAUUCCGUCCGUCGGGUAGGUACGGUCGGCGAAGAAUUAAAACUUAAAAUUAAGUAAGUUAGUACGGCGUGAGACGUGCCGACGGACGACGACGAGGGAGGUAGG